Molecule: ribosomal RNA, 253 nt
Filed under: uncultured bacterium
Lineage: Bacteria
Description: partial 16S ribosomal RNA
Rfam family: Bacterial small subunit ribosomal RNA
Source: RNAcentral
UACGGAAUGUGCAAACGUUAUUCGGAAUCACUGGGCUUAAAGAGUCCGUAGGCGGCAUGUUAGGUGAGGUGUGAAAUCCCCCGGCUCAACCGAGGAAUUGCGCUUCAAACCGGCGUGCUUGAGGAAGAUAGAGGUGGGCGGAACUGAUGGUGGAGCGGUGAAAUGCGUUGAUAUCUACAGGAACUCCGGUGGCGAAAGCGGCGUGCUGGAUCCCUUCUGACGCUGAGGCUCGAAAGCCAGGGGAGCAAACGGG